This 399-nucleotide ribosomal RNA is filed under the name uncultured bacterium. Its description in RNAcentral is "bacterial SSU rRNA". It matches the Rfam family "Bacterial small subunit ribosomal RNA", at positions 355 to 771 of the family's 1533-position model. The record is from RNAcentral.
UAGGGAAUAUUGGUAAUCUGGGAAACCGGGAACCAGCAACGCCGCGUGCGCGAUGAAGGCCUACGGGUUGUAAAGCGCUUUUUAAAGGGAUGAGGAAGGACAGUACCUUUAGAAUAAGCCUCGGCUAACUACGUGCCAGCAGCCGCGGUAAAACGUAGGAGGCGAGCGUUAUCCGGAUUUACUGGGCGUAAAGCGUGUGCAGGCGGUUUGAUAAGUUGGAUGUGAAAGCUCCUGGCUUAACUGGGAGAGGUCGUUCAAAACUAUCAGACUAGAGAGUGGUAGAGGGAGAUGGGAUUCCGCGUGUAGUGGUGAAAUGUGUAGAUAUGCGGAGGAACACCAGUGGCAAAAGCGGUCACCUGGCCCAUUUCUGACGCUAAGACACGAAAGCUAAGGUAGCAA